AAAGGCCGGGAUCUUCGGACCGGUCACUAUUGGAUGAGCCUGCGUAAGAUUAGCUAGUUGGUGGGGUAAAGGCCUACCAAGGCGACGAUCCGUAGCUGGUCUGAGAGGAUGAUCAGCCACAUCGGGACUGAGACACGGCCCGAACUCCUACGGGAGGCAGCAGUGGGGAAUAUUGGACAAUGGGGGAAACCCUGAUCCAGCAAUGCCGCGUGAGUGAUGAAGGCCUUAGGGUUGUAAAGCUCUUUUACCCGGGAUGAUAAUGACAGUACCGGGAGAAUAAGCUCCGGCUAACUCCGUGCCAGCAGCCGCGGUAAUACGGAGGAUCCAAGCGUUAUCCGGAAUCAUUGGGUUUAAAGGGUCCGUAGGUGGAUAAUUAAGUCAGAGGUGAAAUCCUGCAGCUCAACUGUAGAAUUGCCUUUGAUACUGGUUAUCUUGAAUUAUUGUGAAGUGGUUAGAAUAUGUAGUGUAGCGGUGAAAUGCAUAGAUAUUACUUAGAAUACCAAUUGCGAAGGCAGAUCACUAAUAAUAUAUUGACGCUGAUGGACGAAAGCGUGGGGAGCGAACAGGAUUAGAUACCCUGGUAGUCCACGCCGUAAACGAUGGUCACUAGCUGUUCG
Molecule: ribosomal RNA, 617 nt
Filed under: Oxyrrhis marina
Lineage: Eukaryota; Dinophyceae; Oxyrrhinales; Oxyrrhinaceae
Description: partial Bacterial small subunit ribosomal RNA
Rfam family: Bacterial small subunit ribosomal RNA
Source: RNAcentral